GACGAACGCUGGCGGCGUGCCUAACACAUGCAAGUUGAGCGACGAACCAGGGCUUGCCCUGGGGCAAAGCAGCGAACGGGUGAGUAACACGUGGGUAACCUACCCCGAUAACCGGGACAGCCCGAGGAAACUCGGGCUAAUACCGGAUGUGCUCACUGGACUUCGGUUCAGUGCGUAAAGGAAGCUUCGGCCUCCGUAUCGGGAGGGGCCCGCGGCCCAUUAGUUUGUUGGUGAGGUAACGGCUCACCAAGACCGCGAUGGGUAGCUGGUCUGAGAGGACGAUCAGCCACACUGGGACUGAGACACGGCCCAGACUCCUACGGGAGGCAGCAGUGGGGAAUCUUGCGCAAUGCGCGAAAGCGUGACGCAGCAACGCCGCGUGGGGGAAGAAGGCCUUCGGGUUGUAAACCCCUUUCAGGAGGGACGAAGGUUCGGCGGUGAAUAGCCGUCCGGACUGACGGUACCUCCACAAGAAGCCCCGGCUAACUACGUG
RNAcentral lists this ribosomal RNA (493 nucleotides) under uncultured bacterium. RNAcentral describes it as "partial 16S ribosomal RNA". It matches the Rfam family "Bacterial small subunit ribosomal RNA", at positions 28 to 507 of the family's 1533-position model. The record is from RNAcentral.